This 2603-nucleotide non-coding RNA is filed under the name Pongo abelii (Sumatran orangutan). Lineage: Eukaryota; Metazoa; Chordata; Mammalia; Primates; Hominidae. The record is from RNAcentral.
AGAGCAUUCCCAGAAGGGGGGCCAGGGCAGUGCGCACAGUGAGGAGAGCAGCUGUGUGCAAGGUUGAAACAAAACGUUCAAAGCCCCCUUGGAAGCCCAUUCACAGGUGUGUGACUGUGAACCACAUCGUAAUCUCCUAGAAAGCAAGAACAUCAGGCUUACAUUUUUCACUUGCCUCUCAGGGCUCAGUGCUCUGCAGUAUAUACAUUGAGGAAACUGGGCCCUGACACAUUAACUUGCCCAAAAGAUCACAGUGGGCAACAUUCUAGAGCACAAACAAUGGAAGCUGACAGCAAUGUCAGCAAAGAUGGAAAACAGAACGUGGAGAGAGAUGUAGCUUACUAGAGCCCUGUGGCUUCAGUCCCCACCAGGAAUGUCGUUUAAGAGGAAGGUGAUCAAGCACAAAUUCACAUUUGCUUGAGGAAGAAUACAAAUAGAAGCAGCCUCGGGGAGGGGGCGGGGCUGGGGAAUCCCUGGCCUCUCUCCUUUCCUUCUGGCUGAUCUUCUGCCAGAGACCUGCAACAGGAAGCUGGGGGCCAGGAAGCCUGUGGAUGCCCUGAAGAAGAAUGAGUGAUCUGAAAGGGCAGUAGAACAGUACUAGAAUCCAGUGCAAAGGCCCUGGGGCAGGAGUUCACAUGAGAAGUGGGUAGAAGGAACCAGCCUAUGAUCCAGGAACACAGUGAACAAGAUUUGGAAAGCUGACAGAGAAUAUGAGGCCUCCUCUCCAAACAGAAACUCCAGGAGGCUUGGUUGAUUCACUGACACAUGCACAGUGCUGAGCACAGUACCAGACACCAGAGUCUGUGUUCCAGAAAUGGAAGAAUAGGUGAGUAAUGAAAGGCUAAGUAAGCAAAUUCUUUGCAAAUGGGGAAAAGAUUGAAUGUAUAGGACUGCACAUAUCAGAAGCCCCCUGGAAUCUCUGCAUCCAGAAGAUUGCAGUCACCUUCGAAGCACUCACCACCAGAGGCUACUCGCACACUCUCCUGUGGCAGCCGUUCACCUCGGCCCUUUUCCUAGGGAUUUGACUUCAAGUCCCAGAAUGGGCCUCAGGGUCUUUGCAUUUGCCUUUCUAUGAGUCUGGAACACCACCCACCCCCUCACCUGUGGGCAGGCAAAGCACCUCCUGUGUUCAUGUCAUCUCCUGUACCAAGCCCUUCCUGAUGACCAACUUGGAGCCGGGUGCCCUCUAUCCAUGCCUCCAUGGCCCCCUAUGAUAAUGUCCCCCAUAUCACUUAUCAUUCUGCUCGUGAAUUUGGCUUCAUUAAUCUUGCAACAACCCCAGAGUAUUAGGCCACCACCUCUCAUGCCCGACAGAGUCCAUGGCAGAAGGUGGGCUCUCAGAUUUUAGCUGCGCUCCUGAAUGAAAGAAUCAAUAAAAGCCACACAGCAUUAAGUGGCAGACUCUAGUAAUUUAAUUCCUGGUCCCGGGCUCUUUGAUAUAAAAUAACUCUUCUAUUUUUAAUACACCCCACAUUCCUGAAGAUGACACUACUGCAAAAUUAAAGAAAUGUGAUGAACAGCUUACAACCUGCAACACACUCGGCAGCUCAAAAUGACAACAUUAAUUUAAUGAACUUAAACACUGGUGAACUUUUUAACACAUCCGGAGUUAUUUACACUGGGAAAUGCAUACUUAAGAUUGCCUGCCAAAGAGACUCAAAUAGAGAUGACACAUAUAUCUUUCACAUGUUAAUCUGCAUUUUAAACUUUGAGCUUUGAUACAAGUUGGCUUUUCUCUUUUGGAAUGAAGAAAUCAAGAGACUACUUUUUUACCCAUCCAUCCAUCCAUCUAUCCAUCUAUCCAUCCAUCCAGCCACAUCUUUCCUAAGUGACAGGAUAUAUCACACACUAACUGUGUGCACAGCACUCUACCUAAAGAUCAGCGCUAACAGAGGAAUAAGCAGAGGCCUCCAGGAGCAAAGAGUGAAGAGUCUGGCAAGGCUUCAAGUACAGGGGUAAGUGGAUGGAGCUUUCACUGUAGAAUCUUUCCUGGAGAAAAAGCAAACAGUGGGGCAACAAUAAAGGCAUUAAAAAUAACUGUCAAGUUGAAGAAAAAAUCUGAAGUUUAUCAAUACAUGAUCUCCUCAAAAACGAAAGAAAUAAAACAAGUAUCUGCAAUUUGCUGAGAACCUAAUAUGUGUCAGUUGCCUGCAAAACUCAUCAUUCUUAGACUUUCAAAUACAUCUGUAAGGACGGUAUUGUUGUUUCCACUUACACAUGAGAAAACUUACAGAAGGCAAGAGACAAGCCCACAGUCACCCAGCUGGUAUUUUGCCAAAGACUAAGGAUUCGGAUAUGACUACGGAAAGGAAAACUAAGCUCCAUGAGAAGAGGGGACUUGCCCAUGUGGCUCAGGGCUCUAUACCCAGUGCCCUAGACAGUGCCUGACGGUGUGUGUGGAAUGAAUGAAUAACUUUGGUGAUCCACCCAAUGGCACUGGCGCUCAGUGACCUCAUCUGAAAUGGAAUAAGGAUUUUAUGAAAAUGCAUGUUUGUUGAAUAACACAAAGGAGAAUAUUACCUAAUGUGGCUUGGGGUCAAUAUCAAGCAGUAAUAUUGUUUUAAUAUUAAUUAGAGCCGUGUCAUUGCAAGAGCUGGUAAGAA